CCGAUGGUAGAUGCCAGUAUCAACUGACGAGGUGGUGGUGGUGGUGAUAAUAAUGAUGAUAAUUCAGAUAAUUCAGAUAAUACAGACUGUGCACAUGUCUUAACCUGAGAGUUUAAAUUAUUUUGAUUAUUUGAAAACCAGUGGAGGAGUGCCAGUGAUUGUUUUGAGACGUCUUCUUCAUUUUUUUUUACACCAACAUGUCCAGUUGAUUAGUGGUGCCAUGAGACAAGGAUUUGACCUUCUGCGAGUGAGGAAUAUCCUCUGGAGCUGUAGAAGAUGUCGAGGACACGGCCCAGAUCACUGGAGUGUCCUGAAGAAGAAGAGAACAGCGAAGGACAAAGCCCUGGAGCACUUCAAUGACUUCUACGCAACAGUUUAUGGUGAUGUCUGGCCGAAUAUUCGAUAUGCAAUGCUGAAGAAGAGCCACAAGUACGUUGCUGUCGUCAAUAAUUUCUCUGACACCCAGGAGAUUGUCCAGAAGUUGCAGUUACAAGGUGCCAUGGACCUGAAAGAACUUUACGAAGUGUCUAAAAGGAGUAAAGUUGAGAGGGACAAAAAGAAGGAGCGCCUGGAGACGGAAAAACCUGUUUACAAGAUGAGUCUUCCCAUGGAGGACGUCCUGGAAAAAAAGACUUAUUCUGAGUUGAAGACACUUUUUCCAGAUAACUACGAGCCGUCGAUGAAGGCCCUGGAGCAGGAGGACGAUGGACUGCCUCCAAAAGUGGAACCUCUUGAACCUGUCCAGCUGAGGCCUCUGGAGGAGGAUCUUGCUGUUGCACAGCUUGACGAGAGUAGAAUCAUCAAACCUGAUACUGGAAUAUCAGCAUCAUCUCUUUAUGAGUAUAUACCUGCUACGAAGCUCAAAGGCCUCGAGGAUUACGUUCUCGAGUCCGAGCAUUAUGGGUAUUACUCCAAAAGCGCUGAUUUCGAAAUAAAUGUCGAACAGGAUUCGCGUUUUUCAUUUCCAGAGCAUCUCAAGGUGUUUACAUUUGAUGCAGGAAAUGACAGCACCUUCCCAUCACCCAGGAGAGGAUCUACUGGUGUAUUUGAUUAUUAUUUAAUGGAUGGGGGUUCAGUCCUCCCUGUACUCGCCCUCGAUCUUCGCCCUGGGGACGUCGUCCUCGACAUGUGUGCAGCACCUGGGGGAAAAUCCCUCAUCGCACUGCAGACACUAUUACCCUCGAUGCUUGUUGCUAAUGAUUUAAAAAUGCAGAGGGUGAAUAUGAUUAAUGACGUCGUGGACGAAUACCUGGGGGAUCUCGAUGUCUGGACUGGGAAACUCUUCGUGACGCAGCAGGAUGCUAGACUCAUCGAGGACAGGAAUGUCUACAAUAAGAUCCUCGUGGAUGUUCCUUGCACAACAGAUCGCCACAAUCUCCACAACGACGACAGCAACAUAUUUUCCCCCACGAGAAUUAAGGAACGACUACAACUCCCAGAGUACCAGUCAUCCAUUUUACAACAGGCCUUGAAAAUUGUUCCUGUUGGUGGCACUGUUGUUUAUUCCACGUGUUCACUGAGUCCAAUACAGAACGAUGGGGUUGUGCAGAUGGCCUUGAAAAAAAACUGGGAGGAAACGCGAUCUGUCAUGGUUGUGAAAGACAUCAAGGAGGGACUAGGGCCGUUGCGAGUGAUUUACAAAUUCGCUGAAGACUUUGGAUUCAAAUAUGGUACAGUCGUUUUACCCACGAAAAAAUCCAACUUUGGACCCACGUAUUUCAGUAAAAUCGUGAGGAUGCACUGAUACUUCUAAAUAUCUUGUAAAUACAGCGUAAUUAAUAAAAGAGAUCAGUCAAGGGCUGUUCAACAGCUGUCCCGAAGACCCAGUAAACGACGAUUUCAAUUACGUAGAAAAUAGCG
Fopius arisanus is the source of this 1860-nucleotide RNA transcript. It is a transcript of the gene named 5-methylcytosine rRNA methyltransferase l(2)10685, with no coding region annotated. The record is from RefSeq and is a predicted model, not a curated record. Lineage: Eukaryota; Metazoa; Arthropoda; Insecta; Hymenoptera; Braconidae. The transcript is spliced from 5 exons.